RNAcentral lists this ribosomal RNA (276 nucleotides) under uncultured Glomus. RNAcentral describes it as "partial 18S ribosomal RNA". It matches the Rfam family "Eukaryotic small subunit ribosomal RNA", at positions 548 to 829 of the family's 1831-position model. The record is from RNAcentral. Lineage: Eukaryota; Fungi; Glomeromycota; Glomeromycetes; Glomerales; Glomeraceae.
UUGGAGGGCAAGUCUGGUGCCAGCAGCCGCGGUAAUUCCAGCUCCAAUAGCGUAUAUUAAAGUUGUUGCAGUUAAAAAGCUCGUAGUUGAAUUUCGGGGUUAGUAGGUUGGUCAUGCCUCUGGUAUGUACUGGUCUCACUGAUUCCUCCUUCCUGAUGAACCUUAAUGCCAUUAAUUUGGUGUUUUGGGGAAUUUGGACUGUUACUUUGAAAAAAUUAGAGUGUUUAAAGCAAGCUAACGCUUGAAUACAUUAGCAUGGAAUAAUGAAAUAGGACG